GGGGGCGACUGGUUUCGACAUGGUAAGUCGGAUUCGAAGAGCAGGUCGUGGUCUCCUCGCCACGUUAAACAGGGGUAUCGUCAAGUUAAUUGGCAAAUCUUACAACAACAACCUCGCUCUCGCUGCUUAAUCGCAGCUCGAGGUGCCUAACCGAGGGUUUUCCUCGCUUUCGGGGUGGUAUCAUUUUGAGAGGAAUGCUUCUUGAUACGUAGCUGGUAUGAUCAAGAAAAAGACUGAACCCGCUAGGUUGUUCUGUGGCCUGUCAAUGGGCUGGGGGCAAUCGAAAGGUAAACAUUGACUAAGCUUGUAGUGCUUUGCUGAUGAUUUAGUAUGGACCGGAGUUCGAUUCUCCGCGCCUCCACCA
RNAcentral lists this transfer-messenger RNA (364 nucleotides) under human gut metagenome. It matches the Rfam family "transfer-messenger RNA". From Rfam's summary of the family: Bacterial tmRNA, also known as 10Sa RNA or SsrA, is named for its dual tRNA and mRNA-like properties. Its role is to liberate the mRNA from a stalled ribosome. The record is from RNAcentral.